ACUGCUGAUGCGGAUGUGUGGAAGAAAGAGAGAGACACUGAGGAAUGCUUCCUGCUCUGGGUUGUGUAGGAGUGUCGACUGUUUGUGUCUGUAGCUGAUUCCUUCACAAAGGCGAGCAGGAGGGUGACUCAAGGCAACAGGGUGUGUUUUCAGGCUGAGGUAAAAGAUCUACAUCAGAAGAAAAGGUCAUUUGUGUCAUUUUAAGAAUAGUUCCCCCUCUGGAUUAGUUGAUUGUGAGACUGACUGGCAGUGAGGAAGGCCUCAUCGAUCAUUAGCUCUUUCUCUGGGAGCAAUUAUAGAUCGUCCUCGAUUUACGACCAAAAUUGAGCCCAGAAUUUAUGUUGCUAAGUGAGACAUUUUUUAAGGGAGCCCUGUUCCAUUUUACAACCUUUCUUGCUGCAGAAUCAUUGCAUCGUUUAAGUUAAUAACAUGGCUGUUCAGUGCAUCCGGCUACCCCCUUGACUUUACUUGUCAGAAGGUCACAAAAGAGGAUCACAGGACCCCAGGACAAUGUGUAAUCGUCAUAAAUAUGAGUCAGCGGACAAGCAUCUGAAUUUGGAUCAUGUGACCAUGGGGGAUGGUGCAACAGUCGUGUGAAAAAUGGUCACAAGUGACUUUUGGGGGCUUCUAAUCCUAUCCCUCUG
Molecule: long non-coding RNA, 644 nt
Organism: Ahaetulla prasina
Lineage: Eukaryota; Metazoa; Chordata; Lepidosauria; Squamata; Colubridae
Exons: 3
Source: RefSeq, a predicted model, not a curated record